AUGCUCUGUAAAGUUAUAAAAUACAGGCCUAGAAGGGACCUUCAGGAAUCACCUGGCCUCUCUAAAUCAGGAUCACAUGCAAUAUAUAAUACAAGAAAUAACACAGAGAAACAUGCAGCAUUUGUAAAUUGCUCACAGAACUGCCUUUCUAUUUCUACCUGUUACUCCUACUCACUCACAAAGCAGCCUAAGUUUGCUAAACUCUGAGGUACCUACGGUGUUAGAAAUCUUUGGAGGUUUUUAAACACCUUAUGCUAAAAUUUCCCUCCAAAGCACACUGAUAAUUAAAACACUGCAACUUUACAAAGGUGGACUAAUAGAAUAGUUUAUGUUUCUGCUCAAAGAUACUUUCUAAAUCAGCAUCCCUCAUAUACCAUGUAAAAAUGUAUGUAGUUUAGCAUCUGAAUGCAUUACAACACACAUAUGUGAUUCCAUCACAAGUCCUGCUGUGGCCACAAACCCACCAAUGUUACAUUAGCCACUCUUAUGUUAUACACGCCAGCUCCGUGCUUUGGAGGAGACCUUGUCCAACAGCACCAAUUGGUGGAAAAUAAAUUUUAAUUUUAUUUUCCCCUUAAUUCA
Molecule: long non-coding RNA, 582 nt
Filed under: Junco hyemalis (dark-eyed junco)
Lineage: Eukaryota; Metazoa; Chordata; Aves; Passeriformes; Passerellidae
Description: lncRNA (ENSJHYG00000015286.1)
Source: RNAcentral